GACGAACGCUGGCGGCGUGCUUAACACAUGCAAGUCGAACGGAAAGGCCCUGCUUUUGUGGGGUGCUCGAGUGGCGAACGGGUGAGUAACACGUGAGUAACCUGCCCUUGACUUUGGGAUAACUUCAGGAAACUGGGGCUAAUACCGGAUAGGAGCUCCUGCUGCAUGGUGGGGGUUGGAAAGUUUCGGCGGUUGGGGAUGGACUCGCGGCUUAUCAGCUUGUUGGUGGGGUAGUGGCUUACCAAGGCUUUGACGGGUAGCCGGCCUGAGAGGGUGACCGGCCACAUUGGGACUGAGAUACGGCCCAGACUCCUAUGGGAGGCAGCGGUGGGGAAUAUUGCACAAUGGGCGGAAGCCUGAUGCAGCAACGCCGCGUGCGGGAUGACGGCCUUCGGGUUGUAAACCGCAUUCGCCUGUGACGAAGCGUGAGUGACGGUAAUGGGUAAAGAAGCACCGGCUAACUACGUG
RNAcentral lists this ribosomal RNA (468 nucleotides) under uncultured bacterium. RNAcentral's name for it is "partial 16S ribosomal RNA". It matches the Rfam family "Bacterial small subunit ribosomal RNA", at positions 28 to 507 of the family's 1533-position model. The record is from RNAcentral.